GGAAGGCUCUGCUCUUUAAAAAUAGCCGUUAGCCGGUUGUGACCACCGCAAUGGAAUUAGCGUCUAUAUAAAUCUCCAAGGACGUGAAACGCUGAUAUUUUACUUUUAUUUUUCUUUUUUUUUUCUACCGUUCGGUUACACGUUGAAAACCGGAAUGCCAUGCAGCGGUUGGAACUCGAUACAAAAUUUCUAACCAAAUUUAAAGGAGUCACUUUACGAUGUUGCUGACGUUUUUAUUACCAUGUCACUGUGACGUUAUCACAGCAAGCCUGCAAGUUUCGUUAGAAUUGUAUACGUAACUGAAUUUUGGAGAUGGAUUCGGGCUUAUGCAUCACUCACCUCUCAACGUUAUGUAAUACUGUACAAGAUCGCUGCAGCGGUUAGGUUCGGAAAUGGUCAUUCAAGACGCUCUUACGGUGGUCAAAUUCCGGACUAAAUUGAGCCUGUUGGAACUGAAAGUGUACAGACUUUGCAAUGCGGCAUCUGAUUGGGAUGAGAGAGCUAACGUAACCUUCGUCAUCGUUUAGUUUGAUGACUUUGUUUACGACUCGGAUGAGGGUCGAUGAUUGGAUAUUAACGACGAUAUGAAUUAUAACUUAAUGUCCACCGAUUUUGUAUUGCUUUUUGAAAUUUU
RNAcentral lists this long non-coding RNA (634 nucleotides) under Neodiprion pinetum (white pine sawfly). RNAcentral describes it as "uncharacterized LOC124216579". Lineage: Eukaryota; Metazoa; Arthropoda; Insecta; Hymenoptera; Diprionidae. The record is from RNAcentral.